Long non-coding RNA from Perognathus longimembris pacificus (Pacific pocket mouse), 630 nucleotides. RefSeq lists it as uncharacterized. The transcript is spliced from 3 exons. The record is from RefSeq and is a predicted model, not a curated record. NCBI's taxonomy places the organism in Eukaryota, Metazoa, Chordata, Mammalia, Rodentia, Heteromyidae.
CCCAGGCCAGUGUAUUGCCUGUGGAGGAGAGAAGUGUAGGUAGUAUCAACAUACUGGCUGGUUUGAGGUCUCUGCUUUUAUAAAGUUUUUAUAUUUUCUACACCCUGAUUUAUUUGGUGGCAUUAAUCCAUAAUGAUAGUAUACUGCUGUAUUAACUUCACUAGUUUGGAGUUGUUUGAAAUAGGGUAAAAUCAAUCAUAAGAUACUUUUAUGAAAUGUAAUUUUUACAUAGUUAAAUACCUCUGUUAGCCAAGUGUUUCUCUAGGAGGCGCCUAUCAGACUUCUGUACCUUUAUGUUCUUUUAAAAUGUUUUGCAAUUAGUAUAAUAUUUGCAUGAAGAAGUCCUGUUGAAGGAGUUUCACUAGAGGUUAUAAGCAGCAGGAAACCUGGCUAUGGAUCAAGUCCAGGCUUCCAUUUCUGCUUCUGACACAUAAUGUCAGUGAGCAGCUUAUAUUUUUCUCAAAGCUUUUUCUUUCCCAGUAACAUGGGAGAACCAUUUCUCUCUUAGGAUUGAGGGAGCUGGAAAGAAUGCUUGUAAGGAUGUUAGAACAGUGGCACCUGUUAGGCCGUGUGUGUGUAUAUGUGUGUGUGUGUGUGUGUGUGUGUGUGUGUGUGUGUGUGUGUGUGUGU